This is a long non-coding RNA of Scatophagus argus, 2525 nucleotides long. RefSeq lists it as uncharacterized. The transcript has 3 exons. Lineage: Eukaryota; Metazoa; Chordata; Actinopteri; Scatophagidae. The record is from RefSeq and is a predicted model, not a curated record.
GGGGAAUGUACCAACUCCGGGGUUGGACCGGAAGUGCUAACGGGGAGCGGCCAAUACGAAUUGUUGUCGCUGAUGGCGUUCACGGUCACCCAAGAUGGACAUCGAAAGAGUGAAGUUUUUCCCGUUCUGUGGACAACAUGCGGGCCGCUUUACGCGGUUUUGUUUGUCGUGCGGUCAGUCUUUAGAGUUUUUAAUUGGCGUGGACCAGUCGGAAGGACCAGAUAUGCUGCAGCGGUGCUGAGAUAUUUUAGUGAGGGACACUCGUACGCUGUAAUCGCGGACAUGAUGUCAUGUGUACACGGUGUUCAUCUCAGCUUGAGGUCUCUGAAAAGCAAAGUGAAUGAAGCCGGGUUGUAUCGCAGAAAGGAUUACUCCUCUACAAACGCCAUAAUUAGGGCCAUCCGACUGGAACUUCGCGGACCUGGACAGCUGUUUGGCUAGCGCGUGAUGUGGCAGGUACUCAAACAAAAGUACGAUCUGCGAGUGAAGAGGGAUCACGUGAUGAAUUUGUUCCGGUUUGUCAGAAGAGCUUACCACAUCAGGGCCGGUUCUAGGCAGGCAUAUGAGGGGGCACUCAGAAAUGUGAAGGGGGCAGCAUGCGUACACGUCAUCCUCCAGCACUUUGUUCCCCCUGUGCUUAUAGCAAGUGUUUUCUUCAUUGAAUUGGGUUGUUAGCUUUGUGUCCAACCCCAACCUGGAGAAGUGGACUGCACUUUGUCAGGCCUCUACCUCCAGACCUGUCCAACCUGGGUGUCCCACCUGAAGACUAAGCUCCUGCUUUGCCAUGGUCGUGUGCGGUACCAGGCAGGAUUAAAUGAUCUUAAUGUUGUACCAAAUGCCCGCUUUGGGUAACUACCCAGCGUUGGCUGAGAUGGUGAUUUAAGUCACCUGGCAGCUGAGCAGGCUGCUUUGGGGCAGCACUUGUUGGGGAAGGUACAGGAGAAGCAGCGCUUGCUGAUGCUAAAGUAGCAGUUAUGCUAGCUGCUGUCUCUGAUGUGCUAGCAGCAGCAUCGUUGCCUCUACUAUCAAUACAGGCAGGAGCAGCACUGCGCUUUUUAAAAGCUCUGAAAAACAGAUGCAUUACACAGCAUUAACUUUCUCUUUGUGGGCUGCCGGAAGCUGGAGAGGAAAAUAAGUAAGCUGGCUUUGUAAAAACCGCUGUGAUGAUUUGAAACAAAACAGUGCGGAACUACGCUGCUGCUUCUGCUGCGUUCAAUUACACUCGGAACUUGGAGAGAUCGGGGUCGGAAAUCCCGACUUCCGAGGUAGAUGUGUUUCACUGCGCAACCUCGGAAAACAUGACUGGCCACAGUAAGUUGAUGUUUGUUUGGGUGUCUUUCGAGCAUUUAAAAUACUUCUAAGGAAGUACAUCAGCUACUUAAGGGAGGGAGGAAAAGAGAAACGUCAUAUUCCGAGUGUAAGUGAACGCAGAAAGUCCGUUGCCGUGCUGACACCUGAAGAUACCCGGCGGAGGGACAGACAGGUGACAGGAGUCUGAUACUGUGUCGUGUCCAUUUUCGGCGGAUUUUUCCGCUAUUGUAGAUAUUUUGUCAACUUGUAAUAUAUUAAUUUUGUGAAGUUUUUUCAACUUCCCCCUCUUGCCCCUGCGUAGAGCCGGCCUCGUACCACAUACAGCUUGAGCCUUUGGGUUUGGCUCCUCCAGGCUGUCUGGAUGGAUCACGUCAAGUGCUGUGGCUUGCAUGUGGACGACAGAUCAGGACCCAGGUGUGAUGGUCCGCUGUUCUGUCUUGUGUGCGAAACCUUGGUGUCACUCCCGUGAGACUGAGGCCUGAUUGCGGCACGGAGGACGGGAUCAUGGCGUCCAGCCACAUGUUCGGCUCGUCCACAACCAGAGGACAGUCCAUGUUCACAACGGGGAGUUUCUGUAGUGUCAGUUCUGGAUGGAGCCAUUGGCAGGCCUUAGAGACGCCGGGUACGUCAUGAGCGUCGGUGUCUGCUGAGAUGUUCUUCAGAAGGACUUGGAGGAGUGUGUGACACUGUGGAUCGGUCACAGGACUCGGCCCUCCAGAACAGCUUCACGUCCAGUGAGUGUACCACUUACCACACAGGUUUGGCUCCAGAGACUGUGGAUUUAAAAUUGAACAGGCUGAAGUGGUUGCCUUUCCUGAGGCUCUCCUGACCAGAGCUCCAUGUGGGGGCGCACACGUGCAGGAGUACGUAGACUUGGUCAUGGAGCACGGUCAUUUACAGAAGCCAGAGUACUGCAACUGAACUGUGUCGAAGACUGAAAGAAACUGCUCAGCUGUGAAUGGUUUAUUGUAUUAGUGGAACAUGUACACAAAGUGUGUGAAUUUAUCACAGCUUAAUUAUUUCAAAGUGGGAAACGUGAAUAAAAGCAAAAUAAUCAGCAGUUAUUACAUUUUUGAAUGGAGAACAAAAUCUCUUGAAAUACUUGUUUUUUCAUUUAAAAUCUAAAACAGUGAUUCAUAAACAGACAACAGUUUGAGGAUCAUGGAUCUAAAACAACUGACUGAACAAAAAAACAUGCUCAUUUUAAACACUUU